RNAcentral lists this ribosomal RNA (353 nucleotides) under uncultured Glomus. Its description in RNAcentral is "SSU rRNA". It matches the Rfam family "Eukaryotic small subunit ribosomal RNA", at positions 569 to 925 of the family's 1831-position model. The record is from RNAcentral. Lineage: Eukaryota; Fungi; Glomeromycota; Glomeromycetes; Glomerales; Glomeraceae.
AGCAGCCGCGGUAAUUCCAGCUCCAAUAGCGUAUAUUAAAGUUGUUGCAGUUAAAAAGCUCGUAGUUGAAUUUCGGGAUCGACGGGUCGGUCGCGCCUCUGGUGUGUACUGGCCCUGUCGGUUUCUCCCUUCUGACGAACCACGAUGUCAUUUAAUUUGGUGUCGUGGGAAAUCAGGACUGUUACUUUGAAAAAAUUAGAGUGUUUAAAGCAGGCAUUCGCUUGAAUACAUUAGCAUGGAAUAAUGAAAUAGGACGUUUGAUCUUAUUUUGUUGGUUUCUAAGAUCGACGUAAUGAUUAAUAGGGAUAGUUGGGGGCAUUAGUAUUCAAUUGUCAGAGGUGAAAUUCUUGGAU